RNAcentral lists this ribosomal RNA (497 nucleotides) under uncultured bacterium. Its description in RNAcentral is "partial 16S ribosomal RNA". It matches the Rfam family "Bacterial small subunit ribosomal RNA", at positions 28 to 508 of the family's 1533-position model. The record is from RNAcentral.
GAUGAACGCUGGCGGCGUGCCUAAUACAUGCAAGUCGAGCGAACAGAUGAGGAGCUUGCUCCUCUGACGCUAGCGGCGGACGGGUGAGUAACACGUGGAUAACCUACCUAUAAGACUGGGAUAACUUCGGGAAACCGGAGCUAAUACCGGAUAAUAUAUUGAACCGCAUGGUUUAAUAGUGAAAGACGGUUUUGCUGUCACUUAUAGAUGGAUCCGCGCCGCAUUAGCUAGUUGGUAAGGUAACGGCUUACCAAGGCAACGAUGCGUAGCCGACCUGAGAGGGUGGUGGCCCCCACUGAAACUGAGCCCGGCUCGACCCUCCUAGGGGGGGCAGCGGACGGGAUUCUCCCGCAAGGGGGGAAGACCGGAGGGACAAGCGCGGCGGGGUUGAGAAUGGUGUCCGAAUGUAAAAACCUUUUUAUGGGGAAAAAAAAAUUGUGAAGAAAAUUCGGCCCGUCUGGGGGUACCCUAAUAGAAAACCCCCGACAAACUACGGC